CCCUUAGAUGUUCUGGGCCGCACGCGUGCUACACUGAGUGGAUCAGCGGGUCAGGUUGCGCGAAAGCGUUUCCUAAUCUUGAAAUCCGCUCGUGAUGGGGAUUGACGGUUGCAAUUUUCUGUCAUGAACGAGGAAUACCUUGUAAGCGCGAGUCAUCAUCCCGCGCUGAAUACGUCCCUGCCCUUUGUACACACCGCCCGUCGCUCCUACCGAUUGAGUGGUCCGGUGAGGCUUUGGGAUCUGAGCGGAAAGAGCGUUUCGCUCGUUCUGCCCGGAAAACUCAGUCGAACCUUAUCAUUUAGAGGAAGGAGAAGUCGGAACA
RNAcentral lists this ribosomal RNA (322 nucleotides) under uncultured eukaryote. Its description in RNAcentral is "partial 18S ribosomal RNA". It matches the Rfam family "Eukaryotic small subunit ribosomal RNA", at positions 1470 to 1796 of the family's 1831-position model. The record is from RNAcentral.